This is a non-coding RNA of Lolium perenne, 1702 nucleotides long. Lineage: Eukaryota; Viridiplantae; Streptophyta; Magnoliopsida; Poales; Poaceae. The record is from RefSeq and is a predicted model, not a curated record.
CAUGUGCAUGCAGAAAUUGAUGAAAGUACUGUCAAGCACUUCCACAGAGGUAUUCAGUUGAUCUCUUUAAGGUCAAUGAUAUUGUAAUCUGACUGGUACUUCCAUCAUCGUGCCUCCUACACUCUACGUGGCUGGCUAAAAUGACUGUCCCAGCUAUUUCCAUUACCUACUCUCAUGCAUUGUGCCUCCUUCGCCCCCAACUUGAAGUAUGUGAUUAUUUUCAGCCAAUUAGUGACAUACUAUUAAGAUCAGUCCACAAUAGAGCUUAGACAUGUCAAAAUCACCUUUAUAUGGUCUCUAAAUACUUCACAUAUAUUUUGGAAUUUCUUUUACAGAAUUAAGUGCUAAAUGCUCAGAACUAGCACUUUCAGGGAUUAUUAGGUUCUCUCUCUAAGUAUACAUAUCCUAAUGGCCCUUGGUGGUAUAGCUUAAGAUUAAAAUAUGUUGAAAAGUUGUAGCUUCUAAAUGUAAUGUACUAACUUUAAAUUUGUACUUGAAUUAUUUUGUCAAGAAUUUUUGUGAUCCAUAUCUACACAAUAGCAGGUCGAUCGGUGGACACGGAAGGAAGAGAAGAGAAAAGGAGAAUAAAACCUCUCCCGAGCAUAAAACGUGAAAGAAUUGUUGAUGAUAUUCUCAAUUAUACUGUGCAUAUAUGCAUACUAGAAGAUUAACAAUCCAUUGAGAAGCUUAAGAUAAAGCUGUAAGACUAAUUGUUUCCCAUGCCCUGUAGAAGUCUCACAGUUCCAUUCUUCUAUUUUUUGUUUGUUUGUCCACGAAAAGGUAGCUGCCCCUAAAAUUCACAUGAUGAUUUUAGAUCAUAAUUGGCCAGUUCAGUAUAAAUCCAAUCCAUCUAUUUCUUAUUGCAAAAUUCAAGUAUUAUGUUGCCUUAUGUUUAGAGACCAUCCUCAAAAGGGUGUACACGCUUCUGAAGUUCACACACAAUAAGGUGGUUAGAAGCAUUAGUGUCUCAUGCUUAGGGCUGAUGUAUUUAAAGCUUCAUUUCAGAUUACUCAUGCUUGAAUAGUUGUGUGGAUGGUAACAGAGAUAAAAGUCCAGGUGACUUCAAAUACCAAAUCAAAGCCAUGGAGAACAUCAUAGACAAUGUUUAAACAGGUGAGGUUGAGGCAAAUAUUACCUUGCCCGGAGCAUAGGGUGAGGAGGCUGAGAGGAAGGAGACCAUGGAGCUGUUCCCGCAGAGUAGGGGCGGAGCUACACCCCGGGCAACCAGGGCCAUGGCCCGGGGCGCAGCAAUUGUACCUCCAUACAACUAUGGAGAUUAUCGAAUCGGCCUGGGAUUGACCCAUCUCAGCUGCCAAUGGUGCAUCGUCGUCGAUCGAAUUGCUCGAACCCUUCCUUUCUCUGCUAGAUACUCUGCUUAGAUGCUUUUGCUGCUACUGCUGGUCCGCCCUGCCUUGUCGCGUCCUGCCCUCCUCCAUGCGAGCGUUCCGGCCGGCACCCUCGAAGGCUGGUGCGAUGCUAUGCCUCUGCUCUAAGUCUUUUCUUUCCUAGUUCUCCUAGUACAUGCUUCGCCCAAUGGGAGUAGGUAAUUGAUUCAGCUGCGGCUCCCUGUCUGAGCUACGUGAUUGACUAAUUCUGUUCUAUCUCAGUGGCUCAGUUGAAUAGAUCAAUAGACUGUCCAGAAAUCAAGCACUGAUUUUUGUAGUACUAUCUUUUUUAUCUUCGUAUUACCAUUACUCUUUUA